GGUACUCAUCACUUGGCAGAAGACA
This 25-nucleotide non-coding RNA is filed under the name Rattus norvegicus (Norway rat). Lineage: Eukaryota; Metazoa; Chordata; Mammalia; Rodentia; Muridae. The record is from RNAcentral.